This 1554-nucleotide ribosomal RNA is filed under the name Salmonella enterica subsp. enterica serovar Agona. RNAcentral describes it as "bacterial SSU rRNA". It matches the Rfam family "Bacterial small subunit ribosomal RNA". RNAcentral also lists the same sequence under 2 other names. Lineage: Bacteria; Pseudomonadati; Pseudomonadota; Gammaproteobacteria; Enterobacterales; Enterobacteriaceae. The record is from RNAcentral.
AAAUUGAAGAGUUUGAUCAUGGCUCAGAUUGAACGCUGGCGGCAGGCCUAACACAUGCAAGUCGAACGGUAACAGGAAGCAGCUUGCUGCUUUGCUGACGAGUGGCGGACGGGUGAGUAAUGUCUGGGAAACUGCCUGAUGGAGGGGGAUAACUACUGGAAACGGUGGCUAAUACCGCAUAACGUCGCAAGACCAAAGAGGGGGACCUUCGGGCCUCUUGCCAUCAGAUGUGCCCAGAUGGGAUUAGCUUGUUGGUGAGGUAACGGCUCACCAAGGCGACGAUCCCUAGCUGGUCUGAGAGGAUGACCAGCCACACUGGAACUGAGACACGGUCCAGACUCCUACGGGAGGCAGCAGUGGGGAAUAUUGCACAAUGGGCGCAAGCCUGAUGCAGCCAUGCCGCGUGUAUGAAGAAGGCCUUCGGGUUGUAAAGUACUUUCAGCGGGGAGGAAGGUGUUGUGGUUAAUAACCGCAGCAAUUGACGUUACCCGCAGAAGAAGCACCGGCUAACUCCGUGCCAGCAGCCGCGGUAAUACGGAGGGUGCAAGCGUUAAUCGGAAUUACUGGGCGUAAAGCGCACGCAGGCGGUCUGUCAAGUCGGAUGUGAAAUCCCCGGGCUCAACCUGGGAACUGCAUUCGAAACUGGCAGGCUUGAGUCUUGUAGAGGGGGGUAGAAUUCCAGGUGUAGCGGUGAAAUGCGUAGAGAUCUGGAGGAAUACCGGUGGCGAAGGCGGCCCCCUGGACAAAGACUGACGCUCAGGUGCGAAAGCGUGGGGAGCAAACAGGAUUAGAUACCCUGGUAGUCCACGCCGUAAACGAUGUCUACUUGGAGGUUGUGCCCUUGAGGCGUGGCUUCCGGAGCUAACGCGUUAAGUAGACCGCCUGGGGAGUACGGCCGCAAGGUUAAAACUCAAAUGAAUUGACGGGGGCCCGCACAAGCGGUGGAGCAUGUGGUUUAAUUCGAUGCAACGCGAAGAACCUUACCUGGUCUUGACAUCCACGGAAGUUUUCAGAGAUGAGAAUGUGCCUUCGGGAACCGUGAGACAGGUGCUGCAUGGCUGUCGUCAGCUCGUGUUGUGAAAUGUUGGGUUAAGUCCCGCAACGAGCGCAACCCUUAUCCUUUGUUGCCAGCGAUUCGGUCGGGAACUCAAAGGAGACUGCCAGUGAUAAACUGGAGGAAGGUGGGGAUGACGUCAAGUCAUCAUGGCCCUUACGACCAGGGCUACACACGUGCUACAAUGGCGCAUACAAAGAGAAGCGACCUCGCGAGAGCAAGCGGACCUCAUAAAGUGCGUCGUAGUCCGGAUUGGAGUCUGCAACUCGACUCCAUGAAGUCGGAAUCGCUAGUAAUCGUGGAUCAGAAUGCCACGGUGAAUACGUUCCCGGGCCUUGUACACACCGCCCGUCACACCAUGGGAGUGGGUUGCAAAAGAAGUAGGUAGCUUAACCUUCGGGAGGGCGCUUACCACUUUGUGAUUCAUGACUGGGGUGAAGUCGUAACAAGGUAACCGUAGGGGAACCUGCGGUUGGAUCACCUCCUUACCUUAAAGAAGC